CAUGUACCGGUGGGGUCCCUUGGCCUGGCCUGCACCCUCUCACAAUUCAGGACCCCUUGGGGGAUGUCAGACAGCCAAUUUUGGCCCGAUCCCUGCAGGCCAGGCCAAGGGACCCCAUCGGUGCACU
Non-coding RNA from Myotis davidii, 127 nucleotides. Lineage: Eukaryota; Metazoa; Chordata; Mammalia; Chiroptera; Vespertilionidae. The record is from Rfam.